Emys orbicularis (European pond turtle) is the source of this 292-nucleotide long non-coding RNA. RefSeq lists it as uncharacterized. The transcript has 3 exons. NCBI's taxonomy places the organism in Eukaryota, Metazoa, Chordata, Testudines, Emydidae. The record is from RefSeq and is a predicted model, not a curated record.
GAGAAAACAAAAUUGGAAUGCACAGAAAAAAGAUUCUGUUUUGCACAAAAUUAGAGAUGAAUUGAAUAGAAUGACAGCACAACAUGAUCAAGGUACUGCCCAGACUGAAAUGAUGGAGGAAAACAUGAAAAGAUUACUGAAAUGGCAAAGCGAAGUUGAAAUUAAUCGUCGCUCCUUAGAAGAGAAAAGAAAAGAACGGGAAAAGGAAGUAUUACGUCAGCUCCGUGCCUUAGAGACAGUGGCUCAGCAGGCCAAGGAGAUCAUACUGAACCAGGACUUGCAGCAAGCCAAG